This 75-nucleotide microRNA precursor is filed under the name Culex quinquefasciatus (southern house mosquito). RNAcentral describes it as "mir-10 microRNA precursor family". It matches the Rfam family "mir-10 microRNA precursor family". Rfam says of the family: In this case the mature sequence comes from the 5' arm of the precursor. The extents of the hairpin precursors are not generally known and are estimated based on hairpin prediction. The products are thought to have regulatory roles through complementarity to mRNA. Lineage: Eukaryota; Metazoa; Arthropoda; Insecta; Diptera; Culicidae. The record is from Rfam by way of RNAcentral.
CUACAUCUACCCUGUAGAUCCGAAUUUGUUUGAAUAUAAACAAGCGACAAAUUCGGUUCUAGAGAGGUUUGUGUG